Non-coding RNA from Microcebus murinus (gray mouse lemur), 3246 nucleotides. The record is from RefSeq and is a predicted model, not a curated record. NCBI's taxonomy places the organism in Eukaryota, Metazoa, Chordata, Mammalia, Primates, Cheirogaleidae.
UUCAAUGAAACACAGAGAAUCACUCACUGGGCAGCUGUCACCACACAGUCUCACCUGCGUGACAGCCCUGACUUUCUCUUCUACCACACCCCAAAGAGUAACAGGAAAUUCUCACUCUGGGGACACCUUCCUGAAGAGGCCAGCUGCUCAGGGCUCUAUUGCUCUUUGUCCCCAAGUUGUGGCGUAGGCUGGCCAGUGACCUGGUUGAUUUUCCAUAGGGCCCGACACUUCUUUCCUGGCCCAUUGAGCCCAUGUCUGGCUUACAAAAAGUCCUAGGAAUCUCUAGCCAUUCUUCAGACCAUUUGGAUGUGUCCUAAGUGCUCAGUGGUUGGUUUCAUCCUUUACUGGAGCAUUUUAUUGUGAGGCCAUAAUAUUUGGUGAAGUGUCACGUCCUUUCCUGCUUGCUGCUCUGGACCUAAUCCAGGAUGCAGACCUUAGACACGUGGAGAGGACCGAUAGGAAGGGCUCCAUCCUUCAGGGCUUGGGACGCUGCGCCCCCCUGAGAGCAGAGAUGACUUCCAGCUCUCUAUCCCACGUUACCUCGUCCAGGGCCCGCAAAUAGAAGAUACUCACUCAACUGUUAACCGGUCAGCGGAGAUGCCCAGGGAGACUUUGCCGGAUCGCUGCCCCACGUAAUAGCAUUCUGCCAGCCAACAUUCGCACCCCUCUGGGAUGUUGUGCUGAAUGAAGAAAAUGUAUACAGGAAUAUCUGUAAAGGAAAAACACAAAGCUGCAGAGGGGGCGGAACAGCUGAAGAAAAACAACACCUCAGUUGACAAUGCUACCUGGACAACUGGGAGUGAGAGAUCUCUUUGGAAACAAACUGAGGUUCUCAAAAGGAGUUGCAUUUGGAGCUUCUAGAACAGUGGUUCUCACUGUUGGCUGGCUAUUGAGACCAUCUGUGGACCCUUAAGAAAGACUGAUGCCUGAUUGAACAUGGCUAAGGGCCACUGACCCAGAAGACGGUGGUGAGAAGGUCACAGAGAAAAUGGUGGUACAGCAAGUGCAUCAGUGAGAGCCCUAGUUAAGUGACUGCAGCUGCCCUUACUCGUCUCUCACCCUCUACCAGGUACUAUUAAAAGCACGUAAUAAGCACUGCCUAAUUUAAUCUUCCCAACAGCUCCAUGAGGUAGGUACUAUGAUUUUUCUCAGUCUUCAGAUGACAAAACUGAGGCUCAGAGAGCAGGUAAGUGGCUGAGUGAAGUUAGACCAACACCAAAGCUCAUGCUGUUAGUGACUUUGGUGGAGAAUCUACCUGAUAAACAGGUGAGGGUGUCUCCUGGGUCACUUCAUGCCAUGUCACGUGCCUGGCAGUGACUCACAAAGCAGACAGACCUUUUCAUUUCAAAAACUGUAUGUGCCACAACACAGGUACAUACAAUGUGAUGCCUAGAACCUUGUUUUUAAAAAAGAGGGACCUGUCCUGAUUAUAAUAUGGAUGAGAAAAGGCCCUUGAAGUCACCUCCCAGAGAGUUCUGCUGUGAGGUAAAUAGUAGAGGAAUGUGCCCAGAAUCUACCUUGAAGCUCGCUCGAGGGAUGUCUGUGUGCAAUGGCCACUUCUACAAAGCUCCAGAAGGUGUCCCCACUGCUACAUGCUCUUAGAAAGGCUGCCAAACAGGUAGGCUGCGAAAUCUCCUUUAUCAUCAGCUUCAAAGCUCUUUAGAAAUACUUUCAAAACAGGAUAGUUUUUUAAAGCCGAUUUCUUUUCAUGUCUGGCCUUCAGUAGAUGUAGCUAGCUUUGGGGGGAUUUUAAUUAAUAGGAACACAUAGAUCAAUCAAAUGAACCCCUUUUUAUGAAUCACAUCACUAAGUGAAGCAAGCAGAUGCAACCCUAAUGCAGGUUCAGAUAUGCACCGAUACUUUCCACUGAUUUCUUUAGAAGUCAGCUUAGCUCACACUGAAUCUCUAAAAGGCUGAUGCCCUCCAUGGAUACUGCAGACAUUGGGAAAAUGCCUUAAAAAGAAUGAAUCUGUAAUAAGGUGACUAGAGUUCUUCUAUGCAAACAUAAAAGCAGGACAAAAAGUUUUAUAACACUUAAAAUGAAAAACAGCCCAAUUCAUUUAUCUAUGGGGUAAUAGAUAUGGUAUCUCAGGAAAUUGGACUAAACUGAAUUGCAAACAGAAGCAGACUGUAUAGGUCCCAACGUGUGGCUAACUUUCAAGCUAAACAUGAAGAGAGCUAAAGGCCUACCUCCCUCCAUAGGUCUCCCUCUGCUUGGCCUUGAGUCAUUUGCAGGUUGACUACAAAGGCAGGAAAAUUGUUUCUGGAAGCUCAGAUUUGAUAGAAGGCUUACAGCCCUCUCAUUAGCCUCAGAGGCUAAUCGGAUCCCCUGGUCAGAUAAAUUAGCUGACGCAUCACAGCAGAAGCGAAGAUUCUAGAUGAACGGCCUACAGGAGGCCUGGAUGAUGAAGGUCCUGGGAGGGUUCUGGGGACAUCAGGGACGGAGUAUAAGGUGGCCUACUGUUCUCUUUCAUGGACUUCACAUUUACUAAUAAUGUCCUAUUUGUAGUGGGGAUGAUGAGACGUGGACAUUUCAUUAUUAUUCUUAAAGUGUAUAUAAGUGUUACACAACACUUUUGCAUUUAUGAUGGACUUUCACAAUCCAAAGAGAGUGGAUGUCAGGGAACGUAUGGAGUAAGAAAGGCCUCUGCUGGGUAAGGAAGCCAUUAUGACCUUCCACAGAGGCAGUUUCAGUUAAGUGAGGGGGUCAAAAGCCAGUUGAAAUUGGGUUGGGGAGUGAACAGAGGCCACUGGUGUAUUCUGUUUUCUUACGUUGCCUGGUAUAGAGUUGGUGAUGAAUACAACAAGAGGAUUAAAGGCUUUCUAAGAUGGGGAGCACUUGUACUGAGGGCAAAGGAACAGGGAGCUUGAAGAUACUGAGAGCGAGAGGAGAUUAUUGACAGAGAGGAGUACAGACAGAAAGUUUGGCCUGGAAAAGCAAUGGAUGCUAUUUCAGUACAGUCGCCCUUUGCAUCUGUGGGUUCUACAUUGGGGGAAUUCAACCAACGAGGGAUCGAAAAAAAUUGGAUGACAGGAAAACAAUAAAAAAUAACAAAAAAAAUUAUACAAAUAGCGAUACAGUACAAUAUAGCAAUAAUUUCAUUUUUUUUCUUUUUUGGAGAUGGGGUCUUGCUAUGUUGCCCAGGCUGGUCUCCAACUCCUGGGCUCAAGGAACGCUCCCAUCUCAGUCUUCUGUGGCUGAGAUGACAGGCGUUAGCCACUGCACCCAGCCAAUAUAGCAACUGU